GGACCGCGUCAGAUAGCGAGCUGGGAUAAGGCACCGCCCAGGUGCGGAGCUGCAGCGCUGUGUGCGCAUCUCUGCUCUCCCCAUUCCCUCCCAUCCCGCCCCGGACAGCCGCCGAGGCUCAGCUGGAGCUGAAGGGCUUGCCCUUAGUGUGCACUCUUCCGGGACAGACCAUGGGGGAUUUUGGUGCCCUAUCCCUGGAGGUGCUCAAGGCCAGGCUGGAUGGGGCCCUGGGCAGCCUGAGCUUGUGGGGGGCAACCGGCCCACGGCAGGGGUUGGGGCUGGGUGAUAUUUAAGGUCUGUUCCAACCCAAGCUGUUCUGUGACUCUAUGACUCUUUUAAAACAGUUGCACUUACAAGGAGAAAGUUGAGCAAAGGUUUGAAUAAAUUACUUAGAGAAAAAGAGGAAGAGACAGCGGCCACGGAAGCUUUGACUUCCUGCCAACUGCACCAGCUUCAAGCAACUGUAAAAGGAUUAACAAAUUGGAAAGGCAAUAAUAAUAGUAAAAAAUAACAAUAAUUCAAAGAGGAUUUAUUAAAAUAAUUUUAUUGUCAUUUUAAUACAUUAUUGGAACCCGAAUGUUUACAUUUAAUUUUUAAAUCUCACAGCUAUUUAAAAUCUUUAGGGUUACUAGGAAAUCACUUUUCACAGCUCUGCUUCACAGAAAAGUGUGAAGAAGCCUAUCAAGUAGACCACCUGAGAUGUGUUUCUCAGCCCUUUGCUUCAGUGAACCAAGAGGUCAUUGAUUCACACAGCUUGGACAAGAGGUAAUGGCCUCAAGUCGUGCCAGGGCCCCUCAUCGUCUCGAUGGCCUUCCACUGGACUCCCUCCACGUUCUCAACUUCCAUUUUGAACUGAGAAGCUGAAAGAGAGCACAAUAUACCACAUGCCUCCUCACAAAUGCUGAGUGCCAGGGGAUGAUUACUGCCCUCAAUCUGCUGCACGUACACCUGAUGUUGCUCAGGAUAUGGCUUGCUUUACUUUUAAGGAGAGCUCAUGGUUGGCUCACAUUCAGCUUGCUGUUCAUGGAGCCCCCAGGUCCUUUCCAGCGUGGUUGUUUAUCAUCCAGCCUGUUCCCCCCCUGCACCAGUGCAUGGGAGUUUUCUGCUUUACGUGCAGAAUGUUAUACUUCUCUUCACUGAGCUUCCCAAGAUUUCUGUUGGCUCAGCCCAAAUUUCUCCAGGAGUCUCUGAUUUGAAGUUGUUCAAAACAGCAUGUCAACCCCUCUAUCUAAUUUAGCAUUGUCUUCAAUAUAGUGUGCUAGCUAACAGCAAAACAAAACAACAGUGUGAUUUUCACAGGACCUGCCUUGACAAACAACACUGAUUUUAGUCACAAAAUGGGAAUGUUGGUUCUUUAGUGAUUUCUGCAGAUAAUGUGAGAAAUUUUGGACCCAUGAAAAUCAGUGAGAGAGCUCAACUGACUUCUGUUGAAUCAUGAUUCACCCAAUAAAUUGGAUUGUACCGCUGCAA
This is a long non-coding RNA of Numida meleagris (helmeted guineafowl), 1470 nucleotides long. RefSeq lists it as uncharacterized. NCBI's taxonomy places the organism in Eukaryota, Metazoa, Chordata, Aves, Galliformes, Numididae. The transcript has 2 exons. The record is from RefSeq and is a predicted model, not a curated record.